CACUAGUCGCCAGUAGUAACCCUCAUCCCAGUAGUGAAAAGCAACCUGUGACUUCAGACAUUGCCAAAUGUACCCUUGUGGGCAAAAUCCUUUCCCUCUCCAAUUUAGAACCACCACUAUAAAAGAUAAGGACUUUUAAAAGAUCAAAGCACAAUACCACUUUCAUACAAACAAUAUUAACAGCAAUUCCUUAAUAUCAUAAAGUAUUUGGUCAGUGUUCAAAUUGUCCUUAUUGUUUCAUAAGAUUGUUUUACAGUUAUUUCAAAUCAGGUUCCAAAUAAGUUGCACAUAUUGCAAUUUGCUGAUAUGUCCCAUAAGUCUCAUUUAAUUUUUAAGUUCCCUCUCUCUCUCUUUUCUUUGCAAUGGAUUCCAAUUGGUUGAUUUGUGUUUCUUAAUUUGUAGCAAUUCCCCCUCUCUCUUUAUUUUUUUUCUUCUAUUUAUUUGUGGAAGAGCCUAGGUCUUUUGUCCUUUAGAUUUCCCCACAGUCUGGAUUUUGAUAACUGCAUCCCUGUGCUUUUAUUUAACAUAUUCCUCUGGCACCAGUGUUUCUUAUAACUGGUGGAUAUAGAAACCUGAUCAUAUUCAUGUUUGAGUUUUUGGCAAGAAUACUUCAUAGGUAAUGUUGAACACUCAUCAAUUUUAACAUUACAGAGAAAGAGAGAACUGACUCUCAGUGCCUACUGAUGGGAUGCAAAAGGAAGUUCACAAGUACACAGCACCACCUAUGAUAUCUUUUUCCCAAAAAUAAAAAAUGAACCCGAAUCCAAGCAAAACCUAGAUUUAACUACCAGUUACAGGAAACACAGGGAUGGAACAUGCUAAAUAACAUCAUGGGAUAUAAUUAGUCAAAUUCAGAACAUAGGAAAUUCUAUAGGACAAAUGACCCAGUUUUUCCCGUAAACAAACAGGAAAAAAUAUAGAAGCAUAAGAAAAUUUUAUAGAUCACAAAUGAUACAGCAACUGUUUCUGGCUACAAACAUGGGUUCUUUACCUGCCACGCAAGAGGGGCCAAACAAAAACUGGAACACCAGGCUUAUGGCAAGGAAAGUGUUUUUAAUUUGGGUGAUGUCAGCUGGGAGAUGAAAGUGAGCCCUCAAAUGUGGCCCAUCUCAUCUUGUCUCCCCAAAAGAUGGGAAGCCAGGGGUUUUAAAGGUUUGUGAG
Molecule: long non-coding RNA, 1161 nt
Filed under: Equus caballus (horse)
Lineage: Eukaryota; Metazoa; Chordata; Mammalia; Perissodactyla; Equidae
Description: lncRNA (ENSECAG00000044079.1)
Source: RNAcentral